GCGGGCGUGGCGGAAUGGCAGACGCGCCGGGUUUAGGUCCCGGUCCCGAAAGGGGUGGGAGUUCGACUCUCCCCGCCCGCA
Molecule: transfer RNA, 81 nt
Filed under: Acidimicrobiales bacterium
Lineage: Bacteria; Bacillati; Actinomycetota; Acidimicrobiia; Acidimicrobiales
Also listed under: 2 other names
Description: tRNA-Leu
Rfam family: tRNA
About the family: Transfer RNA (tRNA) molecules are approximately 80 nucleotides in length. Their secondary structure includes four short double-helical elements and three loops (D, anti-codon, and T loops).
Source: RNAcentral